GAGUUUGAUCAUGGCUCAGAUUGAACGCUGGCGGCAUGCCUUACACAUGCAAGUCGAACGGCAGCACGGGAGCUUGCUCCUGGUGGCGAGUGGCGAACGGGUGAGUAAUGCAAUCGGAACGUAUCCUGGGAGUGGGGGAUAACGUAGCGAAAGUUACGCUAAUACCGCAUAUUCUGUGGAGCAGGAAAGCGGGGGACCUUCGGGCCUCGCGCUCUUGGAGCGGGCCGAUGUUCGGAUUUAGGCUAGUUGGUGAGGUAAAGGCUCACCAAGGCGACGAUCCGUAGCAGGUCUGAGAGGAUGAUCUGCCACACUGGAA
Molecule: ribosomal RNA, 316 nt
Filed under: bacterium enrichment culture clone ALO1_GLFRUDD03FKJK9
Lineage: Bacteria
Description: bacterial SSU rRNA
Rfam family: Bacterial small subunit ribosomal RNA
Source: RNAcentral